RNAcentral lists this ribosomal RNA (404 nucleotides) under uncultured bacterium. RNAcentral's name for it is "bacterial SSU rRNA". It matches the Rfam family "Bacterial small subunit ribosomal RNA", at positions 355 to 776 of the family's 1533-position model. RNAcentral also lists the same sequence under 2 other names. The record is from RNAcentral.
UGGGGAAUAUUGGACAAUGGGCGAAAGCCUGAUCCAGCAAUGCCGCGUGAGUGAUGAAGGCCUUAGGGUUGUAAAGCUCUUUUACCCGGGAUGAUAAUGACAGUACCGGGAGAAUAAGCUCCGGCUAACUCCGUGCCAGCAGCCGCGGUAAUACGGAGGGAGCUAGCGUUAUUCGGAAUUACUGGGCGUAAAGCGCACGUAGGCGGCUUUGUAAGUUAGAGGUGAAAGCCUGGAGCUCAACUCCAGAAUUGCCUUUAAGACUGCAUCGCUUGAAUCCAGGAGAGGUGAGUGGAAUUCCGAGUGUAGAGGUGAAAUUCGUAGAUAUUCGGAAGAACACCAGUGGCGAAGGCGGCUCACUGGACUGGUAUUGACGCUGAGGUGCGAAAGCGUGGGGAGCAAACAGG